CACUCCUGGGCAAGUGGUCCUAGGGUGUGUAAGAAAGCAGGCUGACAUGGAGAACAGGUGCACAAAUAAAUCCUCUUUUGCAACCCAGAACUGAUUGUUCAGUAUGAGUUUUGAUACACAAGACAGCUCACA
RNAcentral lists this small nucleolar RNA (132 nucleotides) under Neotoma lepida (desert woodrat). Its description in RNAcentral is "Small nucleolar RNA SNORA40". It matches the Rfam family "Small nucleolar RNA SNORA40". Rfam says of the family: The snoRNA ACA 40 belongs to the H/ACA family of snoRNAs and guides the pseudouridylation of 28S rRNA subunit at position U4565. NB This family has a high threshold value to exclude a large number of closely related sequences that do not appear to have conserved H and ACA boxes, and may be pseudogenes. Lineage: Eukaryota; Metazoa; Chordata; Mammalia; Rodentia; Cricetidae. The record is from Rfam by way of RNAcentral.